Nicotiana sylvestris (wood tobacco) is the source of this 92-nucleotide non-coding RNA. Lineage: Eukaryota; Viridiplantae; Streptophyta; Magnoliopsida; Solanales; Solanaceae. The record is from Rfam.
GGGGGUCAAAUGAUGACUAGUACCAUAGUUCACAUGAAAUUAUUUGUGAUUAUAAAACUACUCUAGUCUUUCGCUCCUAUCUGAUGACUCUC